AUACGGAAGGUCCGGGCGUUAUCCGGAUUUAUUGGGUUUAAAGGGAGCGCAGGCGGAGAUGCAAGCGUGACGUCAAAUUUCGGGGCUCAACCCCGUCUCGCGUCGCGAACUGCGUCCCUUGGUUGCGGGAAGGGGAGGCGGAACUCGUGGUGUAGCGGUGAAAUGCAUAGAUAUCACGAAGAACUCCGAUCGCGAAGGCAGCCUUCCGGCCCGUCAACGACGCUCAUGCUCGAAGGUGCGGGUAGCAAACAGGAUUAGAUACCCUGGUAGUCCGCACAGUAAACGAUGGACACCCGCGGUUUGGCCUGUAUGGCUGAGCCGCCAAGCGAAAGCGUUAAGUGUCCCACCUGGGGAGUACGCCGGCAACGGUGAAACUCAAAGGAAUUGACGGGG
This 393-nucleotide ribosomal RNA is filed under the name uncultured bacterium. RNAcentral's name for it is "partial 16S ribosomal RNA". It matches the Rfam family "Bacterial small subunit ribosomal RNA", at positions 523 to 918 of the family's 1533-position model. The record is from RNAcentral.